UGACCUCAGCAGUUCUGACGCAUUAGCCA
This 29-nucleotide non-coding RNA is filed under the name Mus musculus (house mouse). The record is from RNAcentral. Lineage: Eukaryota; Metazoa; Chordata; Mammalia; Rodentia; Muridae.